This 497-nucleotide ribosomal RNA is filed under the name uncultured bacterium. RNAcentral's name for it is "partial 16S ribosomal RNA". It matches the Rfam family "Bacterial small subunit ribosomal RNA", at positions 28 to 507 of the family's 1533-position model. The record is from RNAcentral.
GAUGAACGCUGGCGGCGUGCCUAAUACAUGCAAGUCGAGCGAACGGACGAGAAGCUUGCUUCUCUGAUGUUAGCGGCGGACGGGUGAGUAACACGUGGAUAACCUACCUAUAAGACUGGGAUAACUUCGGGAAACCGGAGCUAAUACCGGAUGAUAUUUUGAACCGCAUGGUUCAAAAGUGAAAGACGGUCUUGCUGUCACUUAUAGAUGGAUCCGCGCUGCAUUAGCUAGUUGGUAAGGUAACGGCUUGCCAAGGCAACGAUGCAUAGCCGACCUGAGAGGGUGAUCGGCCACACUGGAACUGAGACACGGUCCAGACUCCUACUGGAGGCAGCAGUAGGGAAUCUUCCGCAAUGGGCGAAAGCCUGACGGAGCAACGCCGCGUGAGUGAUGAAGGUCUUCGGAUCGUAAAACUCUGUUAUUAGGGAAGAACAUAUGUGUAAGUAACUGUGCACAUCUUGACGGUACCUAAUCAGAAAGCCACGGCUAACUACGUG